This is a non-coding RNA of Oryza glaberrima (African rice), 201 nucleotides long. NCBI's taxonomy places the organism in Eukaryota, Viridiplantae, Streptophyta, Magnoliopsida, Poales, Poaceae. The record is from Rfam.
AAUAAAUGCGACCAUGAGUUUCCAUGUUCAAUUUUGAUCAUCGUCUUAUUUAAAUUUUUUUAUGAUUAAUAUUUUUAUUGUUAUAAGAUUAUAAAAUAUGAACAAUAUUUUAUGCGUGACUUAUGUUUUUUAGUUUUUUUAAAAAAAUAAAUAAGAUGAACGAUCAAAAGUUGAACACGAAAAUUUAUGAUUACGCUUAUU